CUAAGUUUGAUGGCGACCGGCGCACGGGUGAGUAACACGUAUCCAACCUGCCGAUGACUCGGGGGAUAGCCUUUCGAAAGAAAGAUUAAUACCCGAUGGCAUAGUUCUUCCGCAUGGUAGAACUAUUAAAGAAUUUCGGUUAUCGAUGGGGAUGCGUUCCAUUAGGCAGUUGGUGGGGUAACGGCCCACCAAACCUUCGAUGGAUAGGGGUUCUGAGAGGAAGGUCCCCCACAUUGGAACUGAGACACGGUCCAAACUCCUACGGGAGGCAGCAUG
This 276-nucleotide ribosomal RNA is filed under the name uncultured bacterium. RNAcentral describes it as "partial 16S ribosomal RNA". It matches the Rfam family "Bacterial small subunit ribosomal RNA", at positions 79 to 353 of the family's 1533-position model. The record is from RNAcentral.